ACAAUGCGAGGAAUCAUGUGAGUAAUGUGUACAAAAUAAUCUUACAAUGUGUUUAUCAAUGAAUUAAUUAAUUAACACAUUGCCUUUUCGCUUGAUAAUAUUAUGUUAGGUAGUGCUUUAUUGCUUAAUACUAUUCCUAUAUUUGAAAAAUGCGUUUAACCACAAUUAUUAUGCAAUCUAUUGCCUUUACAGUAUUUUUGC
Molecule: non-coding RNA, 201 nt
Organism: Cinara cedri
Lineage: Eukaryota; Metazoa; Arthropoda; Insecta; Hemiptera; Aphididae
Source: the annotation of a GenBank genome assembly